Molecule: small nucleolar RNA, 64 nt
Organism: Entelurus aequoreus (snake pipefish)
Lineage: Eukaryota; Metazoa; Chordata; Actinopteri; Syngnathiformes; Syngnathidae
Product: small nucleolar RNA SNORD98
Exons: 1
Source: RefSeq, a predicted model, not a curated record
GAUAAUGAUGCUGUAAUCCUAUUCCAUUGCUGAAAACUCAUGUUGAGAAUUCCUAUCUGAUGUC